CGCCGUGGCUCACUUGGCUAAUCCUCUGCCUGCGGCACCAGCACCCUGGGUUCUAGUUCCAGUUGGGGCACCGGAUUCUGUCCUGGUUGCUCCUCUUCCAGUCCAGCUCUCCGCUAUAGCCCAGGAAGACAGUGGAGGAUGGCCCAAGUGCUUGGGCCCUGCACCCGCAUGGGAGACCAGGAGGAAGCACCUGCUCCUGGCUUUGGAUCAGCGCAGCACGCCGGCCACAGUGCACCGGCCAUAGUGGCCAUUUUGGGGGGUGAACCAACGGGGAAAAAAAAAGGAGACCUUUCUCUCUCUCUCUCUCUCUUACUGUCUAACUCUGCCUGUCCAAAAAAAAAAAAAAAAAAAAGCAUAAAGAAAAAAUUAAGACUAACUCUAUUUCAAUGAAUACAAUUAUGACACUGAAAGGAAAAGAUGGGAAAGAGGAACAGAGGGAAGGAGAAAGGGGAGAAGAAAUUUAAUAACUUAUGAGCACAGCUUUAGACCACAUAUCUUCAGUUUCAGCCAAGGUUGGCAUGCAGAAUGAAGAGAAAAGAAGUAAGUGCAAACAAAUCCUAACUUUUUUAGUACUUUAAUUUCAAUUGUAGAAAUUUGGAGGAAAGCAAUUAUAAACAUUGUACAUAGAUUAUUGGAUUGAGCAAAUGAGUUGAAGGGAGUCAGGGUUCUUACUAUGGAAGAAGGGACAUACAAAUAUAGCAUGAGAGAGGGCAGGAAGGAACCGUGGACAUGUACUGAGAUUGCAGGUGUCAUUGUGAACUAAUGAUCUCUAAAUUAUCUAUGUAUCUAUGUACAAGUAUUGUACACAUGCAAUCAUGUGCAUGUUUGUGUUAAUGUGUAUGUUAAAUAUAUUUUAUGUGUAGUUUUUUUAUAUAUCAUUGGAGAUACAGAUUUGUGUGUGUGUGUGUGUGUGUGUAUGCCUAUUUCCUAGCUAGGUAUGUCUAUUGAAAGUGUCAAGAAUCAACACCCCAGGGGCAACAAUCACACCUAAAACCCAAAUCUUCUACUCUAAUGCCAUUCUCCACCAAAAGGAAUAAAGUUCUUUGGAGAAAUGGCUGAAACUUAGCAUGAGGUAGGAUAGGGGGAAGAUGAGCCUGGAAUAUCUUGUUAUGCCAGAAAGUAAGAAACAUUUAAAAAGACAUGAUGGGGUUAUGUCCCAAGUACUAAGGAAGGUGCUAGCUGGAAAGGAUUUCUAUUAGGAAAAUAAUGAAUAAUUUGAGCUCCAAAAUUCUUAAGUACAGUGAUAAAUUAAUUACAAGCUACUGCAAAAGAAUUCAUGAGUCCAUAUGGAUAAUAAUAGAUAAAAAUGAAUAAUUCAGUGAAGGAGAUGGAGAGCUCUGACUUCACAUAGACUCCUGAUAGUCAAUUUGUAAAUGUUGAUGGUUUAUGGGAGUUGGAAAAUUAUCAUUUUAAACCAUCACAGCAAAGAUUGCUUUAGGCAAAAAUUAGCAAUAGCUGAUAAAUCUAGAUAGUCCUGAUGAAGAGAAAAAUGUCUGCAUAGUCUUAAAGUAUCUCCUCACGGAUUGCUCAUAGUGGUCAGGGAGAAGAAAAUAGUUUAUUUUUUAAUUAGUAUUCCAUUCCCUCAUCUUUUAAAUAUUCACUUUUAUUUAUUUAAAAGGCCAAUAAAGAGAGAGAGAGAGAGAGAUCUUCAGUUGGCUGGUUCACUCCCUAGAUGUCCACAACAGCCAGGACUAAGCCAUGAUGAAGUGAAGCCAGGAGCCUAGAACUCCGUUCAGGUCUCCCACGUGGGUGGCAGAGACUCAGUAUUUGAAUCAUCAUUUGCUGCCUCCCAGGCACAUUAGUAGGAAGCUAGUUUGGAAUCAGAAGCAGAAGCAGGAGCCAAUCCCAGGCACUCCAGGUGGGAGAUGGACAUCCCAAGUGGUGGGUUAACGUGCUGUACAAUACUUGUCCUGGAAACAGUAGCUUCGUAUUAAAGGAAUUGUACAACAACUUGACAGGGCAAUCAAAAUCAUUGUUACCAUUGGAGUAGAGAGACAUGGUGUGCCUCCAUGUCAUACCCUAAGAAGGACAUCAUCUAUGCAGUAGUCUAAUCAAGAAUAUACAUAUUGAAGAAGGAGAAUUGUAUCCUUAAAAACGACAAAUCUAACAAUUAAAUGCAAUACCCUCCCCUAGACUGGAUUCUGUAGUAGAAGUGAAAAUGCUUUAAAGGACACUAGUAAGUCAAUUGAUGAAAUUGUAAUAUAAAUGGUAGAUCAGAUUUAAAAAGUUACUUCAAUUUAAAAUUUACAGAUCCUAAUGAUUAUAUUGAUCCUAAUAAUUAUAUUGUGAUUUUGUAAGAGAAUAUUUCUAUAAUUGGGAAAUACAGUGAGGCAUUUCACUUACCCUUAAAUAGUCAAGGAAAAACAUUUGUGUAGAUAGAAAAAAAUGAAGCAAAUGUGAUAAAAUAUUAGCAAUAGGUGACACUGAAUUAAGGAUAUAUGAAUAUUUUUGUACUAUUUCACUAUUGCAACUUUUCUAUAAAUUUAAGAGAAUUUUCAAUUAAACAUUACUUUGAGCAGGUGAACAAAAUGAAGUCACCAACGAAGAAUGAACCUCAUGCCUCUAGCUGUUAUGGCCUGUGAAUGCAUCACCUAUGCAGUACUGUAGGUGAGCACACAUAACCCAAAUAAAAUCAUAAAGGAACAUCAAAAGUACCCCACAUGAAGAGUGGCCUGUUUUAAAAUGAGAGCUUUUUUUCUUUCUUUUUUUGCUAGCGUAAAAUCUACACUUCACAAAGUACACAGAGAAAUGAGAGAUCCUUGACCCAGAGGAGACCAGCUUUAUAGCUAUGUUGACAGCUUUUGAUAGAUACAACUAGUGCUAUGAUUUGUCCUCUCAAAAACUGAUGUUGAAUUUAAUUGCCAUUGUACUGCUAUCAAGAAAUGAGAUCCACUAGGAGAAAGAUUUGCCUUCUUCAGUGGAUUAAUGCCAUUAUAUAAGAGUGAAUUUGGCUCUCUGUUGUAAUCUUUUUCCUUCUACAAUGCAUUGUGGCAGAGUGAUUAAGCUGCCAUUUAGGAUACCCACAUCACAUAGUGGAGUGUCUGGGUUUAAUCUCAGCUUUGUUUCUGAUUCCAGCUUCCUGCUAAUGUGUAUGCUGGGAGGCACUGGUGAUGGCUCAAGUAGUUGGGUCUUUGCCACCCACAUGAGAAACACAGAUAGGGAUCCUGGCUCCUGGCGUCAGACUGGCCCAGAACUGGUAUUGCAGGUAUUUGGGGAGUAAGCCAGUGGAUAGAAGUUCCCUCUGUCGUUUUCCCCUGCCCCUCUCUCCCUUUCAAAUAAAUACAAAAUAAAUACAAUUUCUUAAAAAUUAUGCUUUUCUCACUUUUUCAUGUCACCUCCAAAAAGAAAAGUGUGAUUUCUGACUAAACAGCCCCCUCUCCACACAGAUGGGUCUUUAUUCUUUUCUCCCUUUCUUCCUAAGAAAUAUAGUAAAGGAUUAGGGAUGAUAUUGGAUUACAGCGUUCAGCAUGAUAAUGUUAAAACUAUGAUCUAAUCAUGAUCUUAACAGAGUCCCUUAGGUUUACAAACCAUGGUCUACUAACUGCUUCUGGUCUCCAGGUGGGAUUUCUUAACUUUCCCCAGAAGGUGAUAAUCAUGCAACAGGAAGAACCCUGGAACCAGAAGGCUGGACUCCAUCCUAGACUUAACAGUUUACUAGCUGCAAAAUGGUACCUUCCAGGGCUAUUUUAACGCUUCAAUGAGACAGUGAACAUAUAAGCACAAACAGAUGUGGGUCUCUAUGCUCCCCAACUCUCCCCUACCAAAGCAAUUCCAUAUAUCAUUAAAAACAAAACAAACCUUAACAAUCAUGUUUAUGAAAGCAAAAACCUCAGUGAGAUCCAAUGACUCCCACUGCUUCCUCUAUCACCAUGUCCAAAUGUUCCCUUCCUUCAAUCACUUGCAACCAGGUCAAGAAUUCUAAAGCAGCAGAAAAAAUAAAAGGGCAGAGACUUGUCAGUGGUUUUCUCUAGAGCCUCUAGUCUUGAAUCAGGUGUGGUUCAUCUGCUUCAAAAACACUGUUUUCAUAUUGCUUCUAUUACUUACCAAAGAAUGACUUAAGUCAUCUCCUUGCCCACCUUGACUUCAGUCAUCAAAAUGAGGGCCAGGUGUUGGGAUUUUAAGUUGAUAUCCAUCAUGGUCUUGUUCUUACAUUCCCUAAAGCUGAAACAGCUGGGCUUCUUGUUAAACGAUGUAUUUUUUCCCAGGUUCCUUCUAUAGCUACCCCCAAAAGACCCUUGGGUAAAGCAUUUGGGAAUGUAUAUUUUAACUCCCUAUCCCUUCUUCCAAACAAUUCCAACACAAAAAAUAUGAAAAUAACUAACUUAAAUUCCCUUUCAGAUAAAACUAUGUUGUAGCUCAGUGAUUUAAAAAAAAAAAAACAAACAAGAUUUUGCAAGUCAGAGUGACAGAGCUAUAGAGAGGCGGAAAGAUUGUCUGUUGGUUUACUCCCUAGAUUGCUACAGUGGCCAACAGUGGGCCAGACUGGAGCCAGGAGCUUCAUGCAGGUAUCCCACGUGGGAGGGGCCCAAACACUUGGGCCGUCUUCUGCCACUUUUCCCAAGCCAUUAGCAGGGAGCUGGAUUAGAAGCGGAGCAGCUGGCCAUGACACGGUGGCAAAAAACAAUCUAAAUGAAAGAUCCUGGUGAACAAGACCCCAGCAGAAGGAUCAGGCCAUCAAGGAGAGAGGUGCCUUUCUGUGAAGGGAGGAAGGAACCUCCACUGUGAUAUGGCCUUGACUAAACAAGUUCAGAGUCGGUGAACUCAAGGGGCUUCCAUAGCCUAGACAGCUCAUAGCAAGAGUCUCGGGUGAUUGCUGAUGUCAUAAAUAAGAGUGCCAAUUGUUAAAUCAACAACGGAAGUCACUGGGUACAUGCUCCCCACGUAGGAUCUCUGUCCUUAAUGUGUUCUACUAUGAAACUUAAAAACAACACUACUAGUCGAACAAUACCCUAUACCUUGUGCGGUUGUGUGAGUGCAGCCUGUUGAAAUCCUUGCUUAGUAUAUACUAAGUUGAUCUUCAGUAUAUGAAGGAAGCGGAGCAGCUGGAACACAAACCUGUGCCCAUUUGGAAUGCUGGUGUCCCAAGCAGUGGCAUUUUCCACUGUUCCAGACGGCCGGUCCCAGGUCAGUGCUUUUUAAGCUUUAAUUAAUUCCUUGGAAAUCUUGUUAAAGUAGUUUCUGAUUUGGUUAACUGCAGCGAGGCUUGAUAAUCUGUAUUGCUACUAAGCUCCUAGGUGAUGUUACUGGUUUCUGGACCUUCUCCUAAUUAGCAAAGCUUUAUGUGAAACUACAAGCUCACACAGUAGGUUGAUUUACUGUUUUGUGGUUUUUUAAAUAUUUAUCUAUUUGAUAAACAAGUUAGAGAGAGAGAGGUCUUCCAUCCACUGGUUCACUUCCCAGAUGGCUACAAUGGCUGGAGCUGCUCUGAUCCAAAGCCAGGAGACUAGAGCUUCUUUCAGGUCUCCCAAGUGGAUGCAGGGGCCCAAGGACUUGGGCCAUCUUCCACUGCUCUCCCAGGCCACAGCAGAUGGCUGGAUAGGAAGUGGAGCAGCCAGGAUACGAACCGACACCCAUAUGGGGUGCUGGCUCUGCAGGCAGCAGUUUUACCUGCUGGGCCACAGCACCAGCUCUGGUUGAUUUACUCUUUAGGAUGAAAAUAACACAGGUGAUAAAUAGCUCAAGGGUGGGAGAACAUACAAUUGGAUAGGAACCCCAAAUAUUUGCUUGUCUUGAGCGAAGACUUGAUGAAUGACCUUUGGGUGAUUUAGAUCCACCUUUAACACAGAGAGGACACAACUUUGGAGACAGCUGACUUGGUUAUGUCCCCUACUAUGUCACUUCCUAAUCAUCUGAUCUGCAGGGAGUGAGUUAAGCUUGUAAAGCCUUAAGUUCUUGAAUCUGCAAAACAAAGACAAUAAAAUCACUACCUCACUGAGUUGCUUUGAGCAUUAAAAGUGAUCUCACAUAUAAAAUUCCUAGCACAAUACAAUAAGUAACAUCAGGUUUUCUAGAGAUACUCCUUAAGCCUUUACUUGGACCUUGCCCCUAUCCUACAAACAUCACCACCUGGAGGCCAGCAGACUCUUCAUCACGAGAGGACUCUUGGCUUUCACAGGCCGCUGGGUGAUUUAUCACACAGCUGCUCUCCCAGGCUUGGAAGGCCAGUAGUAACCCUGCCAGAGACAGAUGGCAGAACUGGAGUCCAGGCACUUGUCAGUGAUAUUCAGUGGAUGCAUUCAUAAGGCGUUCCACACUCUCCUGGCAUCGUCUUCUAUUAGCUAUUCACCAAAGGAAGCCCACGACACAGCACGUGCCAGGAAGGAAGGCUGCGUGUGCACGUGCUGGCCGGGGCGCCUCAGGACAGCUUCAUCUUUCUUUCCUGAUUCAUUCAUUACUCAUUUCUAUGUGGUUGUGGUGAACAUGCCACCCAGCUUUUUAUGCCAUGUCUUUCUAAUUUUUUUGACAGGCAUCACAGUGCUUACUUUCCCUCCCCAAAUAAUUUUUGCUAAACAAGAAAAGAGCUUCAAUAGUCUGGACUUAACAGGAAGAAUUUUCAGCUGUUUGUUUUUUUUUUUAUCAUUUAGAGAGGUUAUCAACAAAUAUUUCUUUAGAAAUAGCAAUGUGCCUAGCAGUAUCUCCAGUCUUUGAGGGACCUUAUUACCAAAUCAUUUGUUAAGCAGCUUGGCUAAAAUAUAAAAUGUAAGAGUGAUUUUCUUUUUCCUUUAGGAUGGCAGUCCCAAACUUGGGUUAUAAAUUAGAAUCACCUAGGGGAACCUUAAACUAACUGAUAUUUGUACUCCAAUCCCAGAUCUCUUGAUUUAAUUGAUUUGGAAUGCAGCUUGGGUACAGGGAAUUUUAAAAGCAGCCAAAGUUGGCCGGUGCCACAGCUCAUUAGGCUAAUCCUCCACCUGCGGCACCGGCACCCCGGGUUCUAGUCCCAGUCGAGCACCAGUUCUGUCCCGGCUGCUCCUCUUCCAGUCCAGCUCUCUGCUGUGGCCGGGGAGUGCAGUGGAGGAUGGCCCAAGUGCUUGGGCCCUGCACCCGCAUGGGAGACCAGGAGGAAGCUCCUGGCUUCGGAUCGGCGCAGCGCCGGCCGUAGCGGCCAUUUGGGAGGUGAACCAAUGGAAAAAGGAAGACCUGUCUCUCUCUCUGUCUCUCACUGUCUAACUCUGCCUGUCCCAGGCCAUAGCAGAGAGCUGGACUGAAAGUGGAGCAGCCAGGAUCGAACUGGCGCCCAUAUGGAAUGCGGGCACUGCUUACCCGCUAUGCCACAGCGCCAGCCCCAUGAUGUUUUCCACUUUCAUCCAUUUUGUUGCAAAUGACAGGGUUGCUUUCUUUCUUUUUUUUUUUUUUUUUUUACCACUUUGUAGUAUUCCAUGGUGUACAUAUUCCAUAAUUUAUCCAGUCUUCGGUUGAUAGACAUUUGGGUUGAUUCCAUAUCUUAGCUAUUGUGAUUUGAGCUGCAAUAAACAUGGGGUUACAGAUAACUCUUUCAUAUGGUGAUUUUAUUUCCCUUAGGAAAAUUCACAGGAGUGGGAUGGCUGGGUCCUAUGAUAGUUUUUGAAGUGCUAAAAUCACUCUAAAAGCACAGGAGUUUUAAACCCUCCCCCCAAAAAAAGACACUAAAAGGUAUCUCUUAAGCAGUCCUAUAAAAUUAUCCCUUAGUGAUAUCUUUAAAUGCAAUAGAAAUCUGAUUUAUCUUUAUAGUUUCUCGGUUUUAGAAACCCAGGAGACAGAUCUCCAUGGAAUUUGAAAUAUUUUGAGAUUAUGACACUUUAGUGAGACUAGCUGGGUAAUUGAUGGGCCCAGUGCAAUAUUAGAGCACAGUGCCUUCCUUAGAAGACUAAGACUUUCGUGUGGUGAGAGCAGAAUGUUAACCAAGCUCCUGGCCCUGUGUGACUUUAUAGGCUGCAUACCCAUGAAGCCAGCCCGCUGUGUUCUGAAGGCAACAAGACCCCAAUAGUGCAUUUCUGGUUACCUGUCUGGUGAGUCAUUGGUAGCAACUGACACUCAACUGUGUGUUGCCAAUUGUUAUAUAGGUAGAUGGGCCCAGCUGUCUAUGGGACAUCUGCAGAGACAUCAACAAAAGGUAAAUAUUAUGGAUACUAACUUCAAUAUGUUUGUCAGGAAUGACAGUUGAAGGACAGAGGUUUUAUACAAGGACAAUUGGCUACUGAAGACCCAACUGAAUGCCAACAUUAUGCAGGAGAGUUCUCAUGACUAAAUAAGGUUAUGUGUCAGUAUAUAUUGUCUCUCUCUCUCUUUCUCUCACUCCUUCCCUCCCUCCCUCCCUCCUAUUUAUCCAGCUAAUAUGCAUAGAUCUGUACUUAAUUUUUCAGUAUUUCUAGCUCCCCUUACUCUCUUCAGCUAACAGAUGGCCUUGUACUUAUUGGGGGGAAGGAUCUGCCAGCAAAAAAAGAAGAAAAUAUCCUAACAGUCAUCUUGGACUUAGGUACACAAGUAGAUUUGGGGCAUGGACUUGUCUUGGCCAGAACCAAGAAGGCAAGGUUUUCCCCAGUCUAGAAAAGCAAGGGAGAAUCAGAAAGCCAAAGUGUCCCUCAGCAAGAGGACAUAUACCACACAUCCCAGACAGAACCAUCUGGGAAAUAACCCUUGCCCUACAAAAGGGCAAAGAGGCUGAUUGGAUGAGAGAAAGCCUUGAGCCCCAGUAGGGUCUGGGGGCAGAGAAGCAGCAUGCACAUUCUGGAAAAGGACAGACGACAUCUCACUGGCAACUUAGGUUCCCUGGUGAUGGAGGCUCCAGGACCACAGGGCGUGCUCUAUUGUGGCCUGCCCCUCAACACCCAUAUAUGUAAAGUAUUGGAAAAUAUCGUGGAGGAUGCACACCAAACUGCUAAAAGUGGUUGUCUUUGAAUCAAAAACUCAGAUUUGUGAAGGGUGAUUUUAGCUCUUUCUUUAUAAAAACCAAUUUUGCAAUGACAGUGUUCUAAAGCAUUUCAUAUACAAUUAAGGAUGAACUGUUACAUGUUAAAACUAAGAUAAUGUUUCUGAAUACCAAAGUUAAUAUUUCAUUGAGUAGAUGAAUAGCAAUUUACUUAGCCAUUGCCCUGUAUUUGGUAGGUUAGGCUGUUUCCAUUCUUUUAUAUUAUAGAUCUUCACAUGGCAGCUUCUUCUUCUGUUGAUUUAUUUCUCUAGGAUAGAUUCCAAGAGUGGGAUUACUAGAUAAAAUAGUACAAACAUAUUUCUGGCUCAUGAUAUAUUUUUCCACAUUGCUUUCCAAAAAUUUGUGCUGCUCCUUCCUCGACAUUACUACAUUAAAAAAAAUGAGUGAGCCCUCCUACUAACUGGCACUAACCCAUUUUUCUAGUUCUGUUUCCUAGCUCUCAGUAAUGCACACUCUUCACUUCAGUUUUUAACCUUUUUUAUGACUGAGAUCUCCUACAGGAACUUCAACCUAUAAUCUUUCUUGUAUGCCUAAUGUAUGCGUAUCCUACAAGAUAAAUAUGAUCCGUAUUCCCAUUUUAUAGACGAGAACACUGAGGCUUGCAGAGAUCAAGUAAUUUUCCUAGGGUGGCAUAACAAACAAGUAGCACAGUUCAUACUUUUAGUCAUACUUCUAUAUUCUCUCCACAUGUGGGUGUCUUUCUCCAUCAAUUUGAUAUGAACAGGGUUGGCUUGAACCUAAGUAACUCCAGUUUGGUCAUCGGAUCUAGUUUUGUCGAAGCCUUCCUGCCUCAUCUGCCUUCUUGGUACCAGUCUAUAUCUAUAUCCCCACUACCUUUCUGCCUGUGCCACUCUUCAUGGCUUGGUUCUCAGGCUGUCAAUUUGUUUCAUUAACUCAGGCUCCAUCCUUUAUGUUCCAGGUGCUUUAACAUAAGGUGCUAGAUCAGUGGUUUGGGUUACAUACUCAAGUCACUGGGGAACUUAAAACAAAUGAACCAAAACCAGGACUGAACUCCAUCCCCGGAAAUCUGGAUUCAGCUGAUCCAUUGUAAAGUCUGAGCAUGGUUCUGAGGUUGUUUUGAAGUUACUUGGGUACUUUUGGAGUUGAGAAACUACCUGUAUCGUAGAGGCUAUCCUUGGCUUCCUUCUGGGUUUAGAGAUUGAUGUGCCUUUUUCUGGCUUUGUUUGCUUAUCGGUUGGACAAUUUUAUGUUUAGUAAUAGUUACAUGAUUUCCCAUGGCUACCACCACCGCUUGAAUUGUUUAUCUGUGUGCCCUGCUGUCAUCCUGCCUGUUCUAUUUUGUCUUUCUGUGCCCUCACUUAGCAAGAGCACAUUGCUGAUCUUACUUUCAAAUCUUUGCUCUUGCUAUUGCUGUUGCUUUUAACCACUCCAUAUUUCUCUAGUCUAAUCUUGUUGAACUGAAACUUCACACCAGCCAUCAAAUUCUUCCUUUUCACAGCCUACACAACUGAUUCUUCUGAACUCCUAUUUUAAUUCUAAUAUACUUCAUUAUAGAGGUUUCUUUCUCGUUUAGCAUUGAAGGGUGAUGUAUGAUUUUCAUAUGUAGACAAGAGGAAAUGUUUUUAAUUGUGAUUAAGAGAACAGGAUUCAGAAGCUGGUGUUGUUGUGUAGCGAGUAAAGCUGCAGCCUAUGAGGCUGGCAUCCCAUAUGAGUGCCAGUUCAAGUCCUGGCUGCUCUACAUUUGAUCCAGCUCCCUGCUGAUGGACUGGGAAAGCAACAGAAGAUAGACCAAGUCUUUGGGCCCCUGCACCCACACCCAUGUGCGAGACCUGGAAGAAGCUCCUGGCUCUUGACUUCAGUCUGGCCCAGCCCUGGCUGUCUGGCCAUCUGGGGAUUGAAACAGCAGAUGGAAGUUCUCUCUUUCUGUAACUUUGCCUUUCAAAUAAAUAAAAUAAAUCUUUUUUAAAAAAUGAGAGAGAGAGAAAACAGGAUUCAUAGUUAGGAAGACCGGUGUUACAAAUUUUGAAAUUCUAGGCUGCCACUUAGUUAAGCCCUUAAAACCUUAGUUUUCUCAUUUAUAAAUGAAAGAUAACAGUGAGAUCUACAUAUAUGUAGAGAGAGCUUAUCUGAACCCAUAGAGAGUAUUUAACAGAGUACCUGCCACAUGUUAAAAAAUGUCAUACAGGGCAACUACUAGAAAUAAUGUUGUAGUAAGACUGAUUUCUUUCAGCUAAAGCAGUGGAAAUUAAGAACAUAUGUAUCCCAAUGAGCAAUUUCCUCUUAUCAACUGCCUCAUGAAUAUUUGUUAUAUGAAUGAGUGCAAGAUGCCCACUUAUGAUGAUAUUGCAUAGCCCAGUUCUUUUCCAGAAAUCCUCUUUUGGAAUUGCCUACACACUCAAGUUAUGAGUCAGAAGGGAAAAGGAUCCUAUUACUCUGGCCUCUGCUUCCUUUUUUUUUAAACCAAAAAAGGUGAAUAGUAUUUCGUUGUAUGCCUUAUAUGUGGGAGAUAAAAUUUAAAAAGAAAAAAGGAAAAAAAAGAACUAAAUGAAAGAUCUCUGUGAGUGAGAUCCCAGUGGAAAGAACGGGCCAUCAAAGAAGGAGGUACCUUUCUCUGAAGGGAGGAGAGAACUCCACUUUGACUACAACCUUGUCUAAAUAAGAUUAGAGUCAGCGAACUCAAAGGUCUUCCAUAGCCUUGGCAACUCAAGACAAGAGCCUAGGGAGAUUACUGAUGCCAUAAACAAGAGUGUCAAUUUGUUAAGUCAACAACAGGAGUCACUGUGCACUUACUCCUCAUGUAGGAUCUCUGUCCUUAAUGUGUUGUUCAAUGUGAAGUAAUGCUAUAACUAGUACUGAAACAGUAUUUUACACUUUAUGUUCUGUGUGGGUGCAAACUGAUGAAAUCUUUACUUAAUAUAUACUAAAUCGAUCUUCUGUAUAUAAAGAGAAUUGAAAAUGAAUCUUGAUGUGAAUGGAAUGGGAGAGGGAGUGGGAGA
Non-coding RNA from Oryctolagus cuniculus (rabbit), 11862 nucleotides. The record is from RefSeq and is a predicted model, not a curated record. Lineage: Eukaryota; Metazoa; Chordata; Mammalia; Lagomorpha; Leporidae.